AAGGCUUAUCCAUCUGGGUUUUUAGUAAUUGGUCAUAAGAAAAUUCUCAGAGAGAAAUCGACGAGAGAUUUACAUGAAAAGGAAUUCAACCAAAAGGCUAGAAAAUUCGUACCCAACCUCUAGUUACAUCUGGAAUGAUUGAAGGUGGUGAAUUUCAUACUCUUAUCUACUGAUUUCAUGGAGAUUUGGAAGUAAUUAAAGAGGGGUUUUCUUUGUUCUUGAUUGAUGAUUAAAGGUAUGAAGAACUUAGGGUUUCAUUGGGUUUUGGUUUCAACUAUGCCUGGUAGUGAAGCAUGAUAGAAUUGGAAUUCGAUAUAGGGAGGAGGUUGUAAUGUUUGAAUAGGUGUCUCUGAUUUCAGUUGGCGGAUUGCGAAGUUUGAGGUUUGAGUAGCGGUUGAGUGAUAGGUAGCUUUGGUGUAAGUGGUGUUGACGCGGCUGAGGAAGAAAUAGACAUUUGGGUCGAUUAAGUGGUCUUAACUUAUGUUCGUGUGAGGUCGUUGUUGGUCUCAAUAGUACUGUACAGUUCAUGUAUCUUUAUGAAGAUGUUUUCUUUGAGUUUCUUGUUUGUAAGUAAACCCUAUUUUGCUGAAUGUAUGUAUAGUGUGUAUAUAUCACCAAACAAAACACAUGUAAAUUAGAUGGUUAUCUAUAUUAUGAUAAGCCUAGUUUAUGUCUUGGUU
This is a long non-coding RNA of Papaver somniferum (opium poppy), 680 nucleotides long. RefSeq lists it as uncharacterized. The record is from RefSeq and is a predicted model, not a curated record. NCBI's taxonomy places the organism in Eukaryota, Viridiplantae, Streptophyta, Magnoliopsida, Ranunculales, Papaveraceae. The transcript is spliced from 4 exons.